CGUAGGUGGCUAAGCGUUGUCCGGAAUUAUUGGGCGUAAAGCGCGCGCAGGCGGAAUUUUAAGUCUAUCUUAAAAGUGCGGGGCUCAACCCCGUGAUGGGAUAGAAACUGGAUUUCUUGAGUGUCGGAGAGGACAGUGGAAUUCCCAGUGUAGCGGUGAAAUGCGUAGAUAUUGGGAGGAACACCAGUGGCGAAGGCGACUGUCUGGACGAUGUCUGACGCUGAGGCGCGAAAGCCAGGGUAGUGAACGGGAUUAGAUACCCCGGUAAUCCUGGCCGUAAACGAUGGGUACUAGGUGUUGGGGGUAUCGACCCCUCCAGUGCCGGAGUUAACGCAAUAAGUACCCCGCCUGGGGAGUACGGCCGCAAGGUUG
RNAcentral lists this ribosomal RNA (372 nucleotides) under uncultured organism. Its description in RNAcentral is "bacterial SSU rRNA". It matches the Rfam family "Bacterial small subunit ribosomal RNA", at positions 526 to 896 of the family's 1533-position model. The record is from RNAcentral.